GAUGAAGAACGCAGCGAAAUGCGAUACGUAAUGUGAAUUGCAGAAUUCAGUGAAUCAUCGAGUCUUUGAACGCACAUUGCGCCCCCUGGUAUUCCGGGGGGCAUGCCUGUCCGAGCGUCAUUGCUGCCCUCAAGCACGGCUUGUGUGUUGGGCCUCCGUCCUCCUCCCGGGGGCCGGGCCCGAAAGGCAGCGGCGGCACCGCGUCCGGUCCUCGAGCGUAUGGGGCUUCGUCACCCGCUCUUGUAGGCCCGGUCGGCGCUUGCCGACACAUCAAUCUUUUUUCCAGGUUGACCUCGGAUCAGGUAGGGAUACCCGCUGAACUUAAGCAUAUCAAUAAGCGGAGGA
RNAcentral lists this unclassified non-coding RNA (345 nucleotides) under soil metagenome. Its description in RNAcentral is "partial contains 5.8S ribosomal RNA, internal transcribed spacer 2, and large subunit ribosomal RNA". The stretch from base 1 to 120 matches the Rfam family "5.8S ribosomal RNA", at positions 35 to 154 of the family's 154-position model. The record is from RNAcentral.